GGGGUGGAUGCAUGGGCGCAGCCUGAUGCAGCCAUGCCGCGUGUGUGAAGAAGGCCUUCGGGUUGUAAAGCACUUUCAGUUGUGAGGAAAAGGUAGUAGUUAAUACCUGCUACCCGUGACGUUAACAACAGAAGAAGCACCGGCUAACUCCGUGCCAGCAGCCGCGGUAAUACGGAGGGUGCGAGCGUUAAUCGGAAUUACUGGGCGUAAAGCGCACGCAGGCGGUUUGUUAAGCUAGAUGUGAAAGCCCCGGGCUCAACCUGGGAUGGUCAUUUGAAACUGGCAGACUAGAGUCUUGGAGAGGGGAGUGGAAUUCCAGGUGUAGCGGUGAAAUGCGUAGAUAUCUGGAGGAACAUCGGUGGCGAAGGCGACUCCCUGGACAAAGACUGACACUCAUGUGCGAAAGUGUGGGUAGCGAACAGGAUUAGAUACCCUGGUAGUCCACACCGUAAACGCUGUCUACUAGCUGUGUGUGUCUUUAAGACGUGCGUAUCGAAGCUAACGCGCUAAGUAGACCGCCUGGGGAGUACGGCCGCAAGGUUAAAACUCAAAUGAAUUGACGGGGGCCCGCACAAGCGGUGGAGCAUGUGGUUUAAUUCGAUGCAACGCGAAGAACCUUACCUACUCUUGACAUGCUGAGAAGUUACUAGAGAUAGUUUCGUGCCUUCGGGAACUCUGACACAGGUGCUGCAUGGCUGUCGUCAGCUCGUGUCGUGAGAUGUUGGGUUAAGUCCCGCAACGAGCGCAACCCUUGUCCUUGUUUGCCAGCCAUAAGUUGGGCACUCUAAAGAGACUGCCGAGUGACAAACCAGAGAAGGUGGGGGACGACGUCAAGUCAUCAUGGCGCCUUACGUGUAGGGCUACACACGUGCUACAAUGGCAUUUACAGAGGGAAGCGAGACAGUGAUGUGGAGCGGACAAUCUUAAAGAAUGUCGUAGUCUGCAGUGGAGUCUGUACUCGACUCCCUCAAAUCGCAAACGCUAGUAAUACGCAGGUCAUCAAUACUGCGAUGAAUACUUUUUUCCGGCCUUGUACGCACUACCCCCUCACACCCUGGUGAGUGUGAUCCAGUAAGAAGAAUUUAGACUAUCAUUCUUUAGGGACGACUGACGACCAUUUUUGUUUCUUGAUGAGGUCAUGAAGACGUAAUACAGGUACCCACCACUU
Molecule: ribosomal RNA, 1168 nt
Filed under: Alteromonas sp.
Lineage: Bacteria; Pseudomonadati; Pseudomonadota; Gammaproteobacteria; Alteromonadales; Alteromonadaceae
Description: bacterial SSU rRNA
Rfam family: Bacterial small subunit ribosomal RNA
Source: RNAcentral